CAAGCAUCAUUCCAAGAAAGUGAAUGGAGUUAUAUGGGUUAUGCUGGGGUUGGAGCAUGAGGAGGAUCUGGCUGCAAUAAUUAGUGUUGUUCAGUUGACCUACAGAUUGGGACAGCAGAAAUCUCUGCACUUGCUGAAGUGACUGUACCAAGGUCUUGCUGUCAGGGUGAGGGGCAACCCCAGAACCCCUCUCUGCUGGGAAGUUGGAUUUUGCCACCUGAAAGGUUGUCUGGUUUGCCUGAAGGGAAGCUGUCAGCGAUGGCCCAGUAUCAUGCUUUUCACCCAGAAGAAGUUCCCAAAUCCAAGGCUGCAAAUGGUGAUCCUUGGUCAGGAGAAGAGCAGAGCAGCAGCUAAGUGGUGCGUGAGCUGACGGGCCUCACAUCAACUGUGCCAUGCUGAACCAUGUAAGUCAGGCUGGGAGAGCAGCGUAUUGAUCACCGUUAUCUUCUCAGGAAUUCUGUAAAUAGCGCACUAUUUCACACACAUUUGGACUAGAGCAUCCAAUACACACUCUACUGUCAGGGUUUUCUUCUGAAAAACAGUUCCGUUUUAGCGUGAAUCUAUGAAUAUAUUUUGCAUAUAGCUUCAAUGCAAUAACAAGAUAGCAAGUAACUUACACCAUGCAGCUGCAUUUGGGGAAAAUUCACUUGCAAUUUCAGAUUAAGAUGCUUAGGAUUGCUAGGCCAUCUUGUUGCCAGAAAGCCACUUAAUUUUUGUUGAAUCAGAUAUAAAUAAUUGCACUAACCAUUCUAGUAUUCCCUACAAUUACUUGUUAUUGUGCAGAAACCUAGUGAAGGUGGAGUGUCCUGUGUACAGCUUCUGAUGUGCUUUUUAUGUCAGUAAAAAUCUGAAUUGGUGCCUGCAAAUUCAAAUUAUCUCAC
Molecule: non-coding RNA, 881 nt
Organism: Anas platyrhynchos (mallard)
Lineage: Eukaryota; Metazoa; Chordata; Aves; Anseriformes; Anatidae
Source: RefSeq, a predicted model, not a curated record